RNAcentral lists this ribosomal RNA (497 nucleotides) under uncultured bacterium. RNAcentral's name for it is "partial 16S ribosomal RNA". It matches the Rfam family "Bacterial small subunit ribosomal RNA", at positions 28 to 507 of the family's 1533-position model. The record is from RNAcentral.
GAUGAACGCUGGCGACGUGCCUAAGACAUGUAAGUCGAGCGAACAGAUGAGGAGCUUGCUCCUCUGACGUUAGCGGCGGACGGGUGAGUAACACGUGGAGAACCUACCUAUAAGACUGGGAUAACUUCGGGAAACCGGAGCUAAUACCGAAUAAUAUAUUGAACCGCAUGGUUCAAUAGUGAAAGACGGUUUUGCUGUCACUUAUAGAUGGAUCCGCGCCGCAUUAGCUAGUUGGUAAGGUAACGGCUUACCAAGGCAACGAUGCGUAGCCGACCUGAGAGGGUGAUCGGCCACACUGGAAUUGAGCCACGGUCCAGACUCCUAAGCGAGGUCGCAGCCGGCACUCUUCUGUACCGGUCGAAAGCCUGACGGUGGAACGGCGUGUGAGUACUGGAGGUCUUGGGACCGUAACACUGCGUUCCUAGGCACGCACAAAUGUGUAAGUAACUAUGCUUGUAGUGACGGUACCUAAUCAGCCAGCCACCGCUAGCUACGUU